This 131-nucleotide small nucleolar RNA is filed under the name Marmota monax (woodchuck). Its description in RNAcentral is "Small nucleolar RNA U3". It matches the Rfam family "Small nucleolar RNA U3". Rfam says of the family: Small nucleolar RNAs (snoRNAs) are involved in the processing and modification of rRNA in the nucleolus. The record is from Rfam by way of RNAcentral. Lineage: Eukaryota; Metazoa; Chordata; Mammalia; Rodentia; Sciuridae.
AAGACUAUACUUUCAGGGAUCAUUUCUAUAGUAUGUUACUAGAAAGAUCGGUGACAAUCUCAAUAAAGCAGAGAAUCCUAAAAAUAUUCUACUAGUAAGCUUUGUUUCCCUGAACUGGUGUUUUGUUAGGG